GACGAACGCUGGCGGCGUGCUUAACACAUGCAAGUCGAACGGAAAGGCCCCUUUGGGGGUACUCGGAUGUCAAACGGGGGAGUAACACGUAAGUAACCUUCCCUUACCUUCGGGAUAACUUCAGGAAACUGGGGCUAAUACCGGAUAGGAAUCCUUUCUGCAUGGGGGGGGUUGGAAAGCUUCGGCGGGUUUUGAUGGAAUCGCGGGUUAUCAGCUUGUUGGUGGGGUAGUGGGUUACCAAGGCGUUGAGGGGUAGCCAGCCUGAGAGGGCGACCGGCCACCUUGGGACUGAGGGACGGCCCAGAUACCUACGGGAGGGAGCAGGGGGGAAUAUUGCCGAAGGGGCGGAAGGCUGAUGCAGAAACGCCGCGUGCGGGAUGACGGCCUUAGGGUUGUAAACCGAUUUUAGAAGGGGCGAAGCACGUGGUGACGGUACCUGCAGAAGAAGCACCGGCUAACUACGUG
RNAcentral lists this ribosomal RNA (465 nucleotides) under uncultured bacterium. RNAcentral describes it as "partial 16S ribosomal RNA". It matches the Rfam family "Bacterial small subunit ribosomal RNA", at positions 28 to 507 of the family's 1533-position model. The record is from RNAcentral.